AGCCGGUUUGAACCGGCUGAAAAUUUCUGAUGGUUAGCGGCUGAAUGGCUGGCGCCUCCAGCCCAGCCAAAAACCAGCAUCAGGGCCGAAUGCUACAAUCCGCGUGCCUCUGGACUUCCGCCGCCGCCACCGGUCCCUACAUCGGCAAGCUCCCCAGCUCUGGCGCUCACCUCCAGCUCGCCGGAGAUGGCCGGAUCUGGUGGAUCCGGCUCCCCUCUACCUCUCCCACCCCCUUCUUCUUCGUUAUCCAUCCAUUGGAGCAUCCGCCGGCGCUCCUUCCCUAGCGGACGCAGUCGCAGCCGCGGCCAGCCAGGCCGGCACCGUGGCUGGCCCUGCGGCUCCUCUUGUUGGCUCCUUGUCGGUGCGGCCGGCGGCGCCGCCUCCAGCCGGGGGGGCGGCCAGGCUCGUGGCCUCCAGGCAAGGGCGCGCGGCCAGCGUAGCAGCUUCCAGCAGGGGGCACGGCCAGGCAUGCGGCCUCCAGGCAGGGGCUCCUCCCUCGGCGCUCUGAGGACCACCUGCAGCAGCUCCGCCCGCGCCGACACGAGAUCUUCGCGGACCACCGCGCCACCUGAAUGGAGGCUGCCUCCCUCCGCGCGCGGCCUCCCACACGCCGCGGCCACCAAAUCGCUUCCUAUCUAUCCCUCUGGAGUCAAGAGAGACCACCGCUGCACAACCGUAUGGACGCCGCUGUCCCUGGCCUGAAGUCCAAACGAUGGUGCCAUUGCCACCUGUCCAUGGCCUGAAGCCCAAACGUCGCCGUUGCCCAUGGAUACAAGUCGAAGCAACGCCAGCCGCCGGCCACGCCGCGACUACCGUCGUCGUCGCCUCCGGCAGCACACAUGGUCAUGGCGCCUCCGGCAAUGUCACCGGCGGCGGCAUCCACGUGCACCACGCCACGCCGCACCUCCAUCUUCAUCAAAUUGUGGAACAAGAAGAAAGGACAAAAGAAUGGCAUAUCAGAGCAACCGGCUACAUCACGAGUUCAUAACUGCUACAUGUUGACUUCCAGCGACUGAAGAAUCUGAACACAAAUGAUUGCUGCAGAAAGACAAUGCUCAUGGUAUCCUUAUGAAGAAUUCUUGCCUUGAAGAUCAGCUUCUGUGUAUGCGAUGAAUACUCUGAUUCUGCUGAGUAAAACCAUCCUUCUAGAGGUAUGGAAGUUUUUUUCACAUGGAACUUGCGCUAUGGACACACAUUCUAACUGGUUACAUAUGAAAAAGUCACAAAUCUUUUUCCCUUCCUAAACCCUAUUUUUAACUUCCAGAGUUAUAUUACACACGUACCUCGCUGCAGACAUAGCACUCCUUUUUUGCUGCCUUGUCUUUCACAUAGUGGAGCUCCUCCCCCAUCCCUGAAUUGUGAUAUUGGGUCCAGCACUAGUGCGAGUAUGAACACCAGAUUGAGUACCUUGGCACUUUGAUGUGGAGCGUGGUUCUGCGGCAGGUUGGCACAAAUGCUCAGAUGCGAAUUGCCCUGAAGUGGCUGGCAGCAAUGCUGGUCACAUCAUGGCAAAAGGGGUUCCUAUAUGAGCUUGGUGUACAUGCUGUGCUGAAACUGAUGUCGAGCCUCGACAUAGCAAUUCAGGACAAGAUGUGAGCAGAGCAACCAUGGUUGUAUUCAAUCCUUUCUAUCUCAUGUUUCUGGUGUGCCUUGAAAUCGUGGUAAGAUGCUUGAUUCAUAUGCUAUUGGAAAAAUAUGCUUUGGUUCCAUCUGAUUUUGAACUAUCAAUCAAAUGGCAUGAUGUAUUUAUAGGCAGCAAAUUAUCACGGAAAUGUGCUCCCUGUUCACUUGAAGGAGCCACCGGGUUUCAAGUAUUGAGACCGGGUGCGGGAUGUCUGAACUUGGUAGUCAUAUAGAUUUGAUUGUCAUUUAAAAAUCACAUGCCCAAAAUGUGGAGUAAAACUGAUGAGACCAAAUAGAGAUUUUCAGAAAGAUAUCAGCAUAAGACAUUCUCCUUUUUCCCUUUAUUUUUGAAUCCAAUGCUUGUUUGAUAGUCAUUGUUCAGAUCAAUGCUGUAGACUCUUCAACUUUGCACAACUGUGUAAGUCAUCAAAUUGUCUCUUCUUUCUUGAA
Molecule: long non-coding RNA, 2073 nt
Organism: Panicum virgatum (switchgrass)
Lineage: Eukaryota; Viridiplantae; Streptophyta; Magnoliopsida; Poales; Poaceae
Exons: 5
Source: RefSeq, a predicted model, not a curated record